RNAcentral lists this long non-coding RNA (714 nucleotides) under Capsella grandiflora. RNAcentral describes it as "long non-coding RNA (CGRA_LNC001221)". Lineage: Eukaryota; Viridiplantae; Streptophyta; Magnoliopsida; Brassicales; Brassicaceae. The record is from RNAcentral.
UGGUCUUUUCUCUGGAAACAACUCAGCAACUGAUGCAACUAGCCCAGGUUAUUCCGAAACUAGUUCUAGUUCUAACACAACAGGGCCAUCAGCUUACCCUUCAGCAGCAACUUCUCCUUCAACUUCUCCACCAGCUGGUCAUCAUGGUGCUCCACCAGCCACACCUUCAGCAGUAAUAUCUCCUUCAACUUCUCCACCAGCUGGUCAUCAUGGUUCCCCACAAGCUUCACCAACAACUGUAGUGUCUCCUUCAGCUUCACCACCAAGUGAUUAUCUUGGUUCUCUAUCAACUUCACCUUCAGUUUCUCCUUCAGCUUCUCCUUCUAUCUCUCCAUCAGCUUCACCAAUAGUUUCUCCUUCAGCUUCUCCUACAGAGUCUCCAUCUGCUUCAUCGACAUCUCCAUCUAUGUCACCAUCAGAUUCUCCAGAAAGCUCGGUUGAGGUGGGAUCCGAAGACACAAUCUAACUAGAGAUGGAGUGUUUUAAAACAAAAGUUUAGAAGAAGAAAAAGGAAAUAUUUUGACAAAGCCUUUUUUGGUUUUAAUAUUGUGGCAAACCUUGAAAAAGUCGUGAGGUUCAGUAUUAUUGGUUUACCAAUUGAUGAGGUAACUAUGACUAGCUUUGUAAAUUCGUGUUAACUGGUCAUGUACUCAUGUAUAUAUAUGUUGUAAUUAAAUUUUAUAAAAUUAAUUGGUACAUCUUGUUUUUUUUUUU